ACAACAAUUCAAAACAUAUAUUAUAUAAAUAAUCAAUCAUCCAAACAUUAUACCAAAAUUAUCAUUCGAAGAUAACCAAAAUGCUAAGUAAAAUAAAUCUAUAUAAAAAAAAUACCACGAACCAAUCUGCCCAUACAACAUCUUACGAAACUAAUUCUGUCCAUGUCAACACCACUCAACAGAUCCACGUACCCGCAAUAGUUCCAGCAAGAGUACCUGAGAUUGAGAGCCGUCGCGUUAGCUUUCAAGUUUCAACUAAUAGCAAGUAGACGAAAAAUUAGAAGUAAAACAAGAAACAACUGCAAAAAUGUUACAAGUUACAACCAGAGCGAGCUCACAAAAGAGUUAACAUGCAAAAAAUUUCAGAGUGUAGGAACAUCUUAUAAGGUUGCACAUUGCCA
RNAcentral lists this long non-coding RNA (401 nucleotides) under Salvia miltiorrhiza (redroot sage). RNAcentral's name for it is "long non-coding RNA (SMIL_LNC008687)". Lineage: Eukaryota; Viridiplantae; Streptophyta; Magnoliopsida; Lamiales; Lamiaceae. The record is from RNAcentral.